GAUGAACGCUGGCGGCGUGCCUAAUACAUGCAAGUCGAGCGAACAGACGAGGAGCUUGCUCCUCUGACGUUAGCGGCGGACGGGUGAGUAACACGUGGAUAACCUACCUAUAAGACUGGGAUAACUUCGGGAAACCGGAGCUAAUACCGGAUAAUAUAUUGAACCGCAUGGUUCAAUAGUGAAAGACGGUUUUGCUGUCACUUAUAGAUGGAUCCGCGCCGCAUUAGCUAGUUGGUAAGGUAACGGCUUACCAAGGCAACGAUGCGUAGCCGACCUGAGAGGGUGAUCGGCCACACUGGAACUGAGACACGGUCCAGACUCCAACGGGAGGCAGCAGUAGGGAAUCUUCCGCAAUGGGCGAAAGCCUGACGGAGCAACGCCGCGUGAGUGAUGAAGGUCUUCGGAUCGUAAAACUCUGUUAUUAGGGAAGAACAAAUGUGUAAGUAACUAUGCACGUCUUGACGGUACCUAAUCAGAAAGCCACGGCUAACUACGU
This 496-nucleotide ribosomal RNA is filed under the name uncultured bacterium. Its description in RNAcentral is "partial 16S ribosomal RNA". It matches the Rfam family "Bacterial small subunit ribosomal RNA", at positions 28 to 506 of the family's 1533-position model. The record is from RNAcentral.